Molecule: ribosomal RNA, 253 nt
Filed under: uncultured bacterium
Lineage: Bacteria
Description: partial 16S ribosomal RNA
Rfam family: Bacterial small subunit ribosomal RNA
Source: RNAcentral
UACGGAGGGUGCAAGCGUUAUCCGGAUUCACUGGGUUUAAAGGGUGCGUAGGCGGCGCGGAAAGUUGGGUGUGAAAUCCCUCGGCUCAACCGAGGAACUGCGCCCAAAACUGCCGUGCUUGAGGGAGAUAGAGGUGAGCGGAACUUAGGGUGGAGCGGUGAAAUGCGUUGAUAUCAGGAGGAACACCCAUGGCGAAGGCAGCAAACUGGUCAUCAACUGACGCUGAGGCGCGAAAGCGUGGGUAGCAAACAGG